RNAcentral lists this ribosomal RNA (443 nucleotides) under uncultured bacterium. Its description in RNAcentral is "bacterial SSU rRNA". It matches the Rfam family "Bacterial small subunit ribosomal RNA", at positions 337 to 796 of the family's 1533-position model. The record is from RNAcentral.
UCCUACGGGAGGCAGCAGUGGGGAAUUAUGCACAAUGGGCGAAAGCCUGAUGCUGCAAUACUGCGUGAAGGAUGAAGGUUUUCGGAUCGUAAACUUCUUUUAUCUGGGAAUAAUCUUGAAGGUACCAGAUGAAUAAGCACCGGCUAACUACGUGCCAGCAGCCGCGGUAAUACGUAGGGUGCAAACAUUACCCGGAUUUAUUGGGCGUAAAGAGUUCGUAGGCGGUUUUGUAAGUUGGAUAUUAAAGACCCAGGCUCAACCUGGGGAAAGUAUUCAAAACUGCAUAACUAGAGGUGUGCAGGGGAAGAUGGAACUUGUGGUGUAGCAGUGAAAUGCGUAGAUAUCACAAGGAACGCCAAUGGUGAAGACAGUCUUCUGGGCACAACCUGACGCUGAGGAACGAAAGCGUGGGGAGCGAACGGGAUUAGAUACCCUUGUAGUCC